This 204-nucleotide ribosomal RNA is filed under the name Triticum aestivum (bread wheat). RNAcentral describes it as "partial small subunit ribosomal RNA". The record is from RNAcentral. Lineage: Eukaryota; Viridiplantae; Streptophyta; Magnoliopsida; Poales; Poaceae.
AUGUGUAUCCCCAAGAGAGAUGGUGGCAUGGGGUUUAGAGAUCCACAUGCUUUUAACUUAGCUAUGCUAGCAAAGCAAAGUUGGAGAUUGAUUUCAAACAUAGAUAGCUUAUGUGCUAGAGUGCUUCGAGCAAAGUACUAUCCUAAUGGGAACCUUUUGAAAGUGGGCCAAAAAAUGGGUCAUCAUUUACGUGCCAAAGUAUAA